GGGGCCAUGCCCCAAUCAGGCUACAGCUGGCCCUAUAAAGGGACUGCUAGGCAGGUGCUAGGUGAGAGUCUCUCUUUAGCUAUAGAGGGAGAAGGGUCUGGCUGCCUGAGAACUGAGCAAGGUUCCUGAGUAGAGCAGUGCUGGGGAGCUCCUGCCUGGAAAAGCCCCAGGCUGUGGCCUUGCCAAAGGCCAAGUAGGUACUAAGGUUGCAAAGGGGCAGCCCAAGGGUUUUUGUUUUUUGAAAACUAAGUUUGAAUACUACUUUAAGUCUGGCCCUGAUCCUGAAUGAGCUUCAUACAGAUGGUUUACAGGAUUGAGAUCUUUGUUUACUCACUAGAAGAGGAGAAUGCUGGAAAGCUCCAAAGCAGACAUGCUAUCUGCACAUCUGUGUGGCCAUGUGUAAAUUUAUUCUGAAGCACUAUGUUGCAAACAUCCCCAAAACACACAUGGCAAUCAGCAGCAUCAAAUUAGAAGGGAAAAAAAUAUCAAGAAAGCAGAACAAUUAAUCUACCUGGGGAGCACUCAUAUUAGCCAAUGGAGACCUCAAGAAGGAAGUGACGUAAAGAGUAGGAAAGGCAUCCACAGCAUUUACUAAACUCAACCAUGUAUAGAAAUUAAAGUUAAACAGCAACAGAACAAAACUGAGAAUUUUCAAUUCAAAUGUAAUCUCAGUGCUAGCACAUGGCUGUGAGAGCUGGAGAGCUACUAAAACAUUAGAUGGAAAACUAGAUGCCUUCAAAAAUACAUGCUUGCAAAAGAUUUGGGGCAUAGCUUGUAAAGAUUUUGUCACCAAAGAAGAGAGCUGAGAAAUCAGCAAUGAGCAGCUUGCUUCCAUCAGAAUCAAAAGGAAGUAUUGGACAUAUCUGGGGCAUGUACUCCAGAUAUCAAUACACAUGCUUCUACAUGAAGCUGCCAAGUGUAAACCGACUGGUGUGAGGAAACAAGAGCACCCAAGAGAGACGUUAAGAAGAACACUUAACAGAGGGUAAAACAGUUGAUCUCAAUGCCCUAGAGCAAACAGAAGCAGGAGCAGAUUACAAAGAGGAAUGAAAGAGACUGGCUUCCACCCUGUGCACCAACUUUGCCAUGGGAAAGACAUAGAAUUAAGUUACUGAAAUUUACUGCCCAUUAUUUCUUCCAUAUAUUGAGUAUAUUGCAUUUAAAUGAGACAAUGAGUUAACAUCUCUGUUACACAAAGAGAAGGCUAAUAAAUAUUGAGAUUUGCUUCUUGUAUUUUAUGAAUUUUUAUGUAUUCUCUCAUGUAGGGGCAUAGUCAUGCAAUUUUCACAAAUUAUCUCACAGGUGCCAUUUCAACCUUGAAUGCCCAUUUCACAUACCGGCCCCUACUGAGGGAAAGCCAACAAAACGCAUUCACUUG
Long non-coding RNA from Dermochelys coriacea (leatherback sea turtle), 1378 nucleotides. RefSeq lists it as uncharacterized. The record is from RefSeq and is a predicted model, not a curated record. Lineage: Eukaryota; Metazoa; Chordata; Testudines; Dermochelyidae. The transcript is spliced from 3 exons.